This 28-nucleotide non-coding RNA is filed under the name Rattus norvegicus (Norway rat). Lineage: Eukaryota; Metazoa; Chordata; Mammalia; Rodentia; Muridae. The record is from RNAcentral.
UAGCCAUGGUCUCCAGAUAAAUAGUGUU